This is a long non-coding RNA of Salvia hispanica, 986 nucleotides long. RefSeq lists it as uncharacterized. The record is from RefSeq and is a predicted model, not a curated record. Lineage: Eukaryota; Viridiplantae; Streptophyta; Magnoliopsida; Lamiales; Lamiaceae.
UUAUAUUUUCUAAACAUGAAUUAUUUGCUUUGUAGCAUGCAAUUAUUUGUUUUGUACAAGUCUUCCGCUGUGCAAGGGGCACCAAACCCCAACAGUUUCUCUUGUUUCAUUAUGUAGUAAAGCUCUAAACUUUCUUGUGCUUGGCUUUCUACUGAUUUAGUAUUGUAGGUUUGCUAAGUGAUUCUUGUGCUUAUGCAUGAUGGUGUAGUGAUGUUCUACAUGGAUGAAAAGGGAGUUAUAAGGAGAGUUGUGUGGGUUACCUACUGGAAGGUAGGAACUCCCUUGAUUUUCAGUUCUAAAAUCCUCCAAGAACACUCACCUACCCUGAUAUUCCUAGAUGCAAUGUAAGGAAGAGGGGUGAGCUUGAGUUUUAGCAAGAAAAACUUGUGAAAAGAGGGCAAUGGUGUUACCUACGGAGAGUAGGAAAUUCCUGCAAGAACUCUGCAGAACUCUACUCCAAGCUCUCUCUCGAAGUAUGUGGGAGGGGAUUUGAAGGUGGUAUGGGGAUUUCUUAUAGGCAGACUGUAGUGUACUUAGGAUAAUUAAAUGGAGCUCCCAAACUCUUUGUUUUCAUGUUGCAGGGGUGAUAUUGUAGGGCAUAGUAGUCUGUAGGUGUUGUUUUGAGGAGUGGGUAUUGCAGGCAUUGACCUGCCUUCUUGGGUGAAGGAAAGGCUUAGCUGCCACGUUGCUGUCCGAGACAUGGGCUUGUUGCCCCGGGCUCGACGGGCUAUUCGAAACGAGCCGUGAUUUGGGCUUGGGAGAAAGAGGCCCAAAGUGCAAGCAAAAAUAAGACUUUAGUUUCUUAAGCUCUUUUGGCCCAUUCAUGGGUAUUUUGUAAUAGGAUAGUAUCCCAUAUUCUUUUCUUUUCAUCCAUAAUUCAUACGUAAUAUGAUCAUGUAAGUUAAUGCAUUAUUUGAGAUGUAAGCGAACACUUUAGUUCGGGAAGGACAUCUUCACGUUCUUUUUCAAAUGGUCAUUUUAUUUCA